Molecule: ribosomal RNA, 253 nt
Filed under: uncultured bacterium
Lineage: Bacteria
Description: partial 16S ribosomal RNA
Rfam family: Bacterial small subunit ribosomal RNA
Source: RNAcentral
UACGUAGGGACCAAGCGUUGUUCGGAUUUACUGGGCGUAAAGGGCGCGUAGGCGGCGUGGUAAGUCACUUGUGAAAUCUCUGAGCUUAACUCGGAAAGGUCAACUGAUACUGUGCGACUAGAGUGCAGAAGGGGCAACUGGAAUUCUCGGUGUAGCGGUGAAAUGCGUAGAUAUCGAGAGGAACACCUGCGGCGAAGGCGGGUUGCUGGGCUGACACUGACGCUGAUGCGCGAAAGCCAGGGGAGCGAACGGG